UACGUAGGGGGCUAGCGUUGUCCGGAAUCAUUGGGCGUAAAGAGCGUGUAGGCGGCCCGGUAAGUCCGCUGUGAAAGUCCAGGGCUCAACCCUGGGAUGCCGGUGGAUACUGUCGGGCUCGAGUCCGGAAGAGGCGAGUGGAAUUCCUGGUGUAGCGGUGAAAUGCGUAGAUAUCGCUUGGAACGCCGACGGUGAAAACAGCUCGCUGGGGAUUUGCUGACGCUGAGACACGAAAGCCAGGGGAGCGAACGGG
Molecule: ribosomal RNA, 253 nt
Filed under: uncultured bacterium
Lineage: Bacteria
Description: partial 16S ribosomal RNA
Rfam family: Bacterial small subunit ribosomal RNA
Source: RNAcentral